Non-coding RNA from Gorilla gorilla gorilla (western lowland gorilla), 558 nucleotides. The record is from the annotation of a RefSeq genome assembly. Lineage: Eukaryota; Metazoa; Chordata; Mammalia; Primates; Hominidae.
AUGCACAGACCCAGAAGACCCCUCCAUCCUGCAGUUCCUGCCAUGAGCCUGGGGCUCCUGUGCUGUGCGGCCUUUUCUCUCCUGUGGGCAGGUCCAGUGAAUGCUGGUGUCACUCAGACCCCAAAAUUCCACGUCCUGAAGACAGGACAGAGCAUGACACUGCUGUGUGCCCAGGAUAUGAACCAUGAAUACAUGUACUGGUAUCGACAAGACCCAGGCAUGGGGCUGAGGCUGAUUCAUUACUCAGUCGGUGAGGGUACAACUGCCAAAGGAGAGGUCCCUGAUGGCUACAAUGUCUCCAGAUUAAAAAAACAGAAUUUCCUGCUCGGGUUGGAGUCGGCUGCUCCCUCCCAAACAUCUGUGUACUUCUGUGCCAGCAACAAAUCAGGGCUGCCCAGUGAUCGCUUCUCUGCAGAGAGGACUGGGGGAUCCGUCUCCACUCUGACGAUCCAGCGCACACAGCAGGAGGACUCGGCCAUGUAUCUCUGUGCCAGCAGCUUAGAUGGCCGAGGAACAGGUGUCUUCCCCUGCAUGUGUUGGGGCAUCUGCAAGGUCUGA